UGUAAAUGCGACAGAUUUUCGGAUUUCAAACUGAUUGCACGGACAAAGGGAUUACGUAACAAUGUAAUCCGUAAAAGAUACAAUUGCUAGAUUUUGAAAAUUGAAGCAUCAGCCCAUUAAUCUUUAAUUUGGAAGAGAUUGCAGAGUACGGGGAUAGCCAUGGAAUUGUACGGCAUACAGUGGAAAGAAAAGGCUUCCGGGAUUAUUAAUCCUGCUUUGUGCGGUCGUUAUACGAAAAGCCACAAAGGAUUUCCUUUCGGUGGAAACUUACCGUUUAAAGUAUUAGGUACACACUACAUUUGUUGUUGCAAUACACCGAGGCCUAACAACAAUUUUCUUAAAUAAUCACAUUUUGUAUGAAUGAAUAUGUGAACUAGCAAGAUUACCACUAUCCGAGUAAACGGCGAUCAAAGUCAACAUAACGUACGCCAUCCUACAAGUGUCAAGUUUAUGCCACAAAGUAACCUCUCCGAUAGACGCCACCUAGCUACGUCGGACGUUUGAACGACGUUAUAUCCUACACUACAUGCCAUAGGAUGUUCUCUAACAAGAAUAGAAAUUGAGUGGAUAUCUCACACACAACUUCUCUUAUUUAGAUUCAAAAGUCUAUGUCUCGGAGUACGGGUAGCUUAAUGCAAAAUUUGGUGCUUGUAUCCGGCUAGUAAAUAUAAGCUACAUAUUUGUCAUAUUUGGCAAUAAACAAAUUAUAUUCUUACAACUUGCUUUUUUCAACUAUGAAUUCUACUAAAUUGUAAUGAAAUUAUUUUUGUCUAUUCAGCCACUUUUAGCAGUUGUAAUUUCCUACGGUGAAUGUGGAUGGAUAGUGUUGGAUUCUUAAUCAGUAAAAGGUGAUUAAUUUUUUCUCUAUUUACAUUCCCUAUUUAGUUUAGGGAGAGAGAA
Photinus pyralis (common eastern firefly) is the source of this 900-nucleotide long non-coding RNA. RefSeq lists it as uncharacterized. Lineage: Eukaryota; Metazoa; Arthropoda; Insecta; Coleoptera; Lampyridae. The record is from RefSeq and is a predicted model, not a curated record. The transcript has 4 exons.